Molecule: long non-coding RNA, 292 nt
Filed under: Phoenix dactylifera (date palm)
Lineage: Eukaryota; Viridiplantae; Streptophyta; Magnoliopsida; Arecales; Arecaceae
Description: long non-coding RNA (PDAC_LNC011363)
Source: RNAcentral
CACUACAUGCUGCUAGGUGUCACUAGUGGAUGGUGAGACUUACAGGGAAUAUCUUGAUGAUCGAUAAAUCCUAAUGAGUUGAGUUGGAACUGUUCCAUCCCAUUGAAAGAAGUUUUCAAUGAUAUUGUGAUAGAGAUCGCAAUAUAUCUCACUACCAGACAGAAUAGAACCUAUGGGGUCACACACACUAGAGAUAUUGACCGAUCCGAUGGUUGAAAAGUGAUUAUGAAUCGCAAGUAAUCAAUUCGAUUGAUAAUCAGUAGAAGAAGGAACAAUGGGAAUUAAUUAAUUG